GUGGGGGGUUGGGGGGGCAGACACCAGCUGACCUCGAACUGACCAAUGGGAAGCGUCCGUGCCUGGCAUUCGUUCGCUCUUUUCCUUUCGUUGGAGAGGAAGAGAAGAGGAAGAGGAGGAGGUCUGGGAACUACCGAAUACACCCCCCACCACCAUACACAAACACGGACGCUCCGUUUCCUCUCCGCUUUGUGGGAACGGGAAGCAACAGCAUUGUGUUGGAGCUGACUGGUGUAAUCAUUAAUGAGCACUAACAGUCGGGACAGGACAGGCAUGGCCUACAGCCUGGGACACACACAGGACGAUACAAAUGCAGUUUGGGAGAAGCGAGCGGCAGACGAGACGAAAGAGCAGAGCAAAGAAAAAAAACGACCUAAACUUUGGAAACUUUUUGCUAUUUGAGAACCGGAUGGUUGGUCCCUGUGUGAGUGUGUGUAAGGGAGAUGAGUGGGGGCUGGACAUAAAGGAAUAGCAGAAGGACAUAGUCUGCUUUAAAGCUAGUAAAGAAGUCACAAUUUAUGUCACAUGACCUUACGCUUUGUUGUGUUGAUAUUUGUUAUUUGUUGUUGUGCCUGAUAUUUCCUUGUGUCGAUGGGGAUAUUGAAGUCUACCAAACUUUAACUUGCCGUCCACCAGUAUUGAAAAAAAGGGAACGGGGCUGUGCACCGACGCUGCUAAGAGCAUUACCAUUACAUUGCGUAGGCUAGACCUUUGUGCCGCAGUUCGACGAAUUAUUCAUUCGAGUACCGACAAUACUGUAAAAAAUGGGAGACUUAAAAGACAAAAAAUAAUAUAAGCUACCUCGGAUGGCUUGUUAGCUACUUUGACCACCCCAAAAUCAGUAGGCUAACAGCCUUCCAGUCAUUAGCACUAUAGUUAUUAAGUUUCUACCACUGGUCCAGCACUAAUAACAGGGUAAUGACAAGAAGCGAAAUCUGUUAGAAGUAUAUGAAUCACAAUGACGCAAAUAAAUAGAAACUGUAGAGAGAUGGAAUGGUCUAGAUUAUAUCAGACAACAAAGAAAGCAAAAAGUUAAUAUUGUGGGACAUUCUCCCACGUUGAAAAUUGGUAGGAUGACAAUUGCAAAUCUCAUCUUUUUUCUAAACGGAUAUGUGUUUUAAGCCUGCUGUAUUCCUGCACAGUAAAUCUUUCUGGUGCAGCUUCAGAGUAAAUAGCCAAGAGGCGCUGAAGGAACUCCAGGAAUCCGGGAAACUUCAGAGAUUAUCGACAAUUAAAGCUGAAAGAGUCAGGCGGCUGCUUUAUGGCUUUAUGGAUCCCUUUCACCUUUUGCGCGCGUGUGUGUGGGGGUGGGGGUAUGUGCGAAGGAGAGAGAGAGAACUCAGGACUUUUAUGGUUUUAUGACUUUUUAUGACUCUUUACAAGGAGUCCGAGGAAUGGCUACGAUCUGAAAAACCGCCCCGCAGCAAACCGGCAGAUGAACAAAUGUGUUGUUCUCCGCAAGUAACGAGCACUGUGCAGCUCACCUGCGGUUUAUUUCAGCCGUGGCAGUGAUAGGGUCGACUGCAUUUCACGGGUUAAAUAAUUAACCGUCUAUGAAAUUUAAAAUUCACUGCUUAUCCUACUAAAGUACUCUUAUGUAGCAUUUUAGUUCGAGUUAUUUGUAAAAAGUAGUUUAAAACUCUUAGCGCAUCAGACUGGCCCUCUUCUGGCAGAGCAGACGCGUUUAUUGCAACCACUAAAAUAACCUUUAAUUUAACCCUGUCUCUCAUCAGUGUAAUUUAAAGAGAAACUGUGACUAAACAAAAAAAAUAAAAUAAAAAAAGUAAAAAGAAUAUGCGAUUAAACUGUAUGACAUGUUAAGUAAGUGGUCUAUUAUAAUGUCAUUCAUUUAAAUUUUAUAUGGAUUUUGCCCAUCUCAGAAAAAACAGGGACAUUUUUUGACAUAAGUAGAAUACUUUCGCUCUUUGGAUCGUAUAGAAGAUUCCAGAAGUUGCGAUACUUGAAGAUAAAAAGUUCAUGUGUUUAGAGUUUAGAUAAAUAGAGUUCCUAUUGCUAAUUCUCUCUCGCUCUCUCUCUCUGUGUGUGUGUGUGUGUGUGUGUGUGUGUGUGUGUGUGUGCGUGCGCGCGCGCGCGCGCGAGAAGGAGACCUCUGCUACUGCACCAGUUAAUGACAAACUCCAAAAAACUGCCUGACUAGUACUUUCUCUUGUUUAAUAUAUUAAUCGUUUCCAGGCAGCUUGAGUCGACUCGCCGCGUCCUUCAGGGUACUGUGAGCACGCGCUCCAGGUCAGUUCACCGGACUAUUACCGGUGGACGGGAGCCCUCAGCCACAAAAGGCCUCGGGACCAGUUAAAGUUUAACGGUGGGUGAAUGCAGCAUCAGAAAGAGACCCAUAUUUUUCGGCUAAAUAAGAAGAGUCGAGCUUGAUUAUUCAAACAGUCUUAUUCGACAUUAUUUGGUCAGGUCAGACGAAAAAUAAUAAUAAUAAUUAUAAUUAUAAUAAUAAAAAUCAUAAAUUAACUUCUGAUACUAUCACCCUGGCAAUCGUUAUCUAACUGCACAGAAAAUCCUGUCGAGGUAUUUGUCCGCUGCGCAAACCACAAAUAGAUGAAGGGAAAACAAAUUUUCUGUCUGAUCUCAAUACUCUGAAGUUGAAUGCUGAAUAAAACUAAGACUAUGCUAAAAUCAUAAAUUAAACUGAACACCAUAGUUUUCCCUCCAUGAGGGUCUUUCAGAUGAUUACACACACGUUCACAACUGGAAACAUAUAUCUGAGGGGGACUGCACAACAGAUUUACAGAUAAGCGUGAGUGAUAAAACCACAAAGAAAGGACGAAUUAAUAUGCUUACACAGACAUGAACACAGUGAAGCACAUGCACUCCCUGCUUGCCGCUCUAUUCCGAAACAGCCCUCCUGACCAAUCAGCAUAAAUUUUGCAUCCAGAAUUACUUUUCCGUGAGCACAUCCAGUGCUCGUGCGCAAGCGCAAACACGCACACACACACACACACACACACACACAAGAACACCAUUCUUCUGGGAUUUUGUACACACACGGUUUUCUACACGUUUCAUUCACCACUGUAACAGCAGCCAGGUCUAACCUUGGAGACAAACCAGGACUGAGAGAAACACCCGUUUCUCUACCUCAGUGCUACAAGUCGACCUUUCCAACCCUACAUCAAAGAUAAAAAAAAAAAAAAAAAUCCUUCAGCAUACACUCCUGUGAAAGCACACAAAAGCUUUUUGCACCACUCGCUGUGGCUGACCUGGUAUUAUUUUUCUAGAGAUAAUACAUAAGUAAAAUUGCGGGCAUGGUUUUUGUAAAUCGACACACUUAAUAACGCAUUAACACUGACCCAGGGACGUAUAACUUGUGUUUCCGAGUCUUGAGAAAGAAGAACCUGUGUAUGUGUCUAUGUGCUCUUUGGUAUUGUUGUUAACGGAACACUAGAUGGCACCAGAGUGUCUUGUUAGGUGCGGCCUCUGGGCUGCUCUGAAGCUUCAUUGUGAGGACUGCCGCCGAACACAAACAGCCUCCGGAUUGUGUCUGUCUUUAACCGUUGCUCCCAGAGCUGCGUGAUCACAGCCUUACAGGAAAACAGACUGUUGGCUUGAACUUAUCUACCAAAACAGAGAACACAAGAGAGAAAGACACACAUUGCUCGUACCUUAUAUACCACUCUCCAAAUGUUACUGUCUUCAUUUAGUAUUAUAUAACAAUUCUAUUUGUGUUAAAUUAUCCAUUUUAGUUCCAGAAUUAAGACAUACAUUAACAUUUGUAUAUGAUCCAAAUUGUUUGACGGUUAAAUAAAUGUAUCACUAAAAACGGCACUUCUAAUUAUGCUAAAUACGACCGUAAACAUCUCUCGAGUCCGCGCACACUGCUGCUCUAAAACCUAGUCAAUAAUAAUAAUAAUAAUAAUAAUAAUAAUAAUAAUAAUAAUAAAACUAAUACCACAGUGCUGACAUUAAUGAGUGUCAAUAACAGAUUCGAGAUUCUGCGUGGUCUUUCUCUGUUCAAUAAUCUCAAUACGAUAUUGAUAUCUGCGACAAAAAUAUGCAUAUUUUAGCAUACGUGUUUGUGUCGUGGUAAAAUGUGACACAACAACCCAUAAGUAUGCUUAAUGCAUUUCAGCAAAGUCAAGUUUUUAAAGCAAUUGUUUCACGGUACCUGGGACCAAAAAGAAAUUAAAUUUCAAAUUUUAUUAAAUUUUAUCUAAACAGCGCCAAAUCACAACAGUCCCCUAAAGGCGCUUUAUAUUGUAAGAUAGGCCCUACAAUAGAAAUCCCUUCUAAUCGCAAACACAUUAAAAAAUAUAUACAUCAUUUAUUAUAAGUUUUAUUCCUCUGUUCUGUGUUUGCAUUUGUUUUAUGUAUCACGUUCAGCGUACCCCGUAACUUAACGAAUGCACGACGAAUUUCUGUUCCAUUUACGACUACAGACGGAAUAAAGAAUUUGAAAAGUUGAAAAAUCUGUAGGCACGACUUAGUGUGAUCGUGGCUUUAGAAAGUCCGGCACUGCGUAUUGCAUGUGGCUGACAAUAUAUCCCUAAAACGAGGCACUGACUUUAUCUUAAAAAACUGGUGUUUAUUGAGAAUACUGAAUUUCUCACAAAGGAAGACUGUUGAUUCUAGGGUAUAUGUCCAUCAUGCUAUAGCUUACUAUUAAGGAUAUCCUUGUGUCUACUGUGUGUUUUAAACCAUCCUACCCCAUAAGAAUGAUUGUGUUAGCUGUUCAUCCACAAAGCGGAAUUGGAAGCGACUCGAAAUGUGGUUUUACUGUAAAAAUACAUGUGUAUACAUUUCUAUGAGUGGUUUGUGAAUAAUUAGACAACAACCAAGUAAAUUACUAUAAGGUAAAAUACAAGUUGUUAAAGUGUAUAUUUGCUCAGCGAAAAUUUCCACAGCUAUUUGCAGCCUUGCAAUGUUCUUAGACAAUCAGUCAGACCCUGUUUUGUAUGAGGCGGAAUAUCAAGGUUACAUGUGAGCACAUAUGAGCGUUAGAAAAUAACAUGUUACUAUAAGAAAAACCAUAUAAGCUUUAAACAUUGGGUGAUAAUGAUUUGUCAGUCAGACAAGGUAAAACAUUAAAAUAAAAUCUUCAUUUUUUGUUCUUGUGAUCAAGUGUGUGUGUGUGUGUGUGUGUGUGUGUGUGUGUGUGUGUGUGUGUGUGCGUGCGUGUCUGUGUGUGUGUGUGUUUGUGUGUGUGCUCUGAGAUGAAAAGUCUGGCUUUCUGAUAUUUGAGACGGCAACAAAUUGGAGACCAAAGAGUGUUUGUGACUGUGGGGUUGUGAUUGCAGGGAAAGAAAAAAAACGCCUGCUCCAGGGAGGAAAUGAGAAGGGAACCAAAGCCAUAAAAGUGAGACAGACAAACAUUCCUGUGCUUGUAAACUAUCUCUCUCUCUCUCUCUCUCUCUCUCUCUCACAAACACACACACACACACACACACACACACACACACACACACACACUGUCAAUCUAAUGAAAAACAAAAAAACGAAACAAAAAAACCUACACGCUGGAAGUAAAACACUGACAAAAACCGCAGAAGCUCAUCUUCAAUUCACCUGCAGCCAGAUGCAAACCCCCAAACCAGAAAACUAUGUUGCUUUUAUCUUUAAAAGUCAUAUUAAAUGAGGGACUUCAAAUUCUGCCAAAGCCAUCAGAUCAAAGCCGAUCUUUUUCAUGUGCAUAUUUGCCCCCUCCCUGCCUACACAAUGGGCAGCUUUUGGUGGAAAAGCUGGAAGCUAAUCUUCCAGUUCUCAAACAGCCGAGUUUCGAGCAAUAGAUGGCUCCUCGACAGCCAAUGCCGCUAUUUAAACUAACCAAUAUAUCUGUAUACAUCCAGCUAGGAAACGGUUUAUUCUGAGAUGGCGGAGCAACGCUUCGUUUAGAAAAAUAAAAAAAAACAAAAAAAAA
This is a long non-coding RNA of Oreochromis niloticus (Nile tilapia), 5884 nucleotides long. RefSeq lists it as uncharacterized. The record is from RefSeq and is a predicted model, not a curated record. The transcript is spliced from 3 exons. NCBI's taxonomy places the organism in Eukaryota, Metazoa, Chordata, Actinopteri, Cichliformes, Cichlidae.